GGACUACCAGGGUUUCUAAUCCUGUUUGCUCCCCACGCUUUCGCGUCUCAGCGUCAGCAGAGAUCCAGCAAGUCGCCUUCGCCACUGGUGUUCCUCCGAAUAUCUACGAAUUUCACCUCUACACUCGGAAUUCCACUUGCCUCUAUCUCGCUCCAGGUCGCCAGUUUUGAAGGCAGUUCCGAGGUUGAGCCUCGGGAUUUCACCCCCAACUUAACGACCCGCCUACACGCGCUUUACGCCCAGUAAAUCCGAACAACGCUAGCCCCCUUCGUAUUACCGCGGCUGCUGGCAC
This 292-nucleotide ribosomal RNA is filed under the name uncultured bacterium. RNAcentral's name for it is "partial 16S ribosomal RNA". The record is from RNAcentral.